RNAcentral lists this ribosomal RNA (440 nucleotides) under uncultured bacterium. RNAcentral's name for it is "partial 16S ribosomal RNA". It matches the Rfam family "Bacterial small subunit ribosomal RNA", at positions 338 to 795 of the family's 1533-position model. The record is from RNAcentral.
CCUACGGGGGGCAGCAGUGAGGAAUAUUGCACAAUGGGGGAAACCCUGAUGCAGCGACGCCGCGUGAGUGAAGAAGUAUUUCGGUAUGUAAAGCUCUAUCAGCAGGGAAGAAAAUGACGGUACCUGAUUAAGAAGCCCCGGCUAACUACGUGCCAGCAGCGGCGGGAAUACGUAGGGGGCAAGCGUUAUCCGGAUUUACUGGGUGUAAAGGGAGCGUAGACGGCAGCACAAGUCUGGAGUGAAAUGCCGGGGCUUAACCCCGGAACUGCUUUGGAAACUGUGCAGCUAGAGUGCAGGAGAGGUAAGUGGAAUUCCUAGUGUAGCGGUGAAAUGCGUAGAUAUUAGGAGGAACACCAGUGGCGAAGGCGGCUUACUGGACUGUAACUGACGUUGAGGCUCGAAAGCGUGGGGAGCAAACAGGAUUAGAUACCCUGGUAGUC